Panicum virgatum (switchgrass) is the source of this 1204-nucleotide long non-coding RNA. RefSeq lists it as uncharacterized. Lineage: Eukaryota; Viridiplantae; Streptophyta; Magnoliopsida; Poales; Poaceae. The record is from RefSeq and is a predicted model, not a curated record. The transcript has 2 exons.
CUUCUCCCCCCUACCAUUCCCCUCCCCUCCUAUUUCCCUCACGAACCCACCUUGCAGUAGAUCUGCUCGGUCUCAUUGCAUUCCGAGACCAGACAUGCAUGCAGGCUGCCUCAUCUCGCGGUGCCAGAUCUGGGCACGGUUGGCCUGGAGAAGCAAGCACAGCGCCCAUAGAACGAGUUUAGAAUUUUGUUUGAUUCGAAUUUCUUUUAGAGGUUUAUGUCGCUGUGUGAUUUUGUUUUUCUUUUGUUCCGGGCAAGGGGAGUUCCAGAAAGUGGAAUCGUGGGCUCGUGGCUAACUCCUGAUCCUUACCGAUCUGGUAGGGCUGCUACUGUGGUGGAUGGGUUCCUCAAUUCAUGCACCUAUCAUAUGAAUUUAGAUGAUAGUUUGCCUGUUUCUGAUCUCGUAUGUGUCCCAUCUGAGUUUGGGUCAUGCUUUCUAUCACCAUGGAGUUUUAUUUGAAAAAACUUUUUUUCGUUCUCUGUUUUUCAAAUAAACGGAUAGGUGAUGCUGCAAUUGAGACCAAGUACAUUGUAUAGACGAUUGAGCAACCGCGUUGCAAUCCAUUUUGAUCAAUGGUGUCCCAUCCAUGGGGGAUCCCGUCGAUCCUGCAUCAAUAGACACAAGCGAUGAAGGAGCCGGUCCUGCUACUUUCCUGCAGAGCCCAUUCUGACUUAAGCUAGUGAUUUUCUUAAAAAUGUUCAUUCAAAUGCUUUUUUCAGGAAGUCAACCUAUAAAAAUGAUGGCAGCAUAUUCAAGCGCCCCCCCCCCCCCCGCCCCUUUAUUUUCAGGAUCUGAGAUGGGCACAGUGAUCUCCAUUGACCAUGUCAUCUUUGAUUGGGGCCCAUCAUCACCAUUAGGUGUUCAGGGACAGUUCCCCUUGUUCAUCAGUUGAUGGAUUUUUUGCUGGAGCAUCUAUUGUACAGUAGAUAGAUUCCGAGUUUCAUGUGAGGAUUGCAUAGUUAGAGCUUUUGUGUAUAGGUUCUUACGAAAAUGUAAGUUCUGAGUGGCAGAUAAUAGAAAUAUGACACCCAUCUUCUGCGUUUAUGAUAUUUAUGAACCGGCUCAGAAAAAAUGUGUGGUGUUUGCAAGGUAAUGAGGUUUUGCAUCGACAUAUUUUAGUACAUGAGAUUGGGAGAUUAACAGGAUGUAAUUUUGAUGAUAACUAUAUAUUUAUUGUAAAGAACAGAAUUUUUGUGUCUGGCAA